Molecule: small nucleolar RNA, 106 nt
Organism: Dendrobium catenatum
Lineage: Eukaryota; Viridiplantae; Streptophyta; Magnoliopsida; Asparagales; Orchidaceae
Source: RefSeq, a predicted model, not a curated record
AAGCAUGAUGAGGGCACUUUCUAAAAAUCUCCAUAAAUCUUUCUCAGCUCUCACAUAUUGACUCUCCUUCAAAAUGAGAAAAGGAAGUAAUAAUAUUUCUAAGCUU